ACGUCUACAUUAGAUACCCCCCGUAGUCCCAGCCGUAAACUAUGCGCGUUAGGUGUAUCGGUGACCACGAGUCACCGAGGUGCCGAAGGGAAACCGUGAAACGUGCCGCCUGGGAAGUACGGUCGCAAGGCUGAAACCUAAAGGAAUUGGCGGGGAGCACCACAACGGGUGGAGCCUGCGGUUUAAUUGGACUCAACGCCGGGAAGCUCACCGGAUAAGACAGCGGAAUGAUUGCCGGGCUGAAGACUCUGCAUGACUAGCUG
This 263-nucleotide ribosomal RNA is filed under the name uncultured archaeon. RNAcentral describes it as "partial 16S ribosomal RNA". It matches the Rfam family "Archaeal small subunit ribosomal RNA", at positions 716 to 982 of the family's 1478-position model. The record is from RNAcentral.